RNAcentral lists this transfer RNA (86 nucleotides) under Candidatus Methanomassiliicoccus intestinalis Issoire-Mx1. Its description in RNAcentral is "tRNA-Ser (CGA) (tRNA-Ser-CGA-1-1)". It matches the Rfam family "tRNA". From Rfam's summary of the family: Transfer RNA (tRNA) molecules are approximately 80 nucleotides in length. Their secondary structure includes four short double-helical elements and three loops (D, anti-codon, and T loops). Further hydrogen bonds mediate the characteristic L-shaped molecular structure. tRNAs have two regions of fundamental functional importance: the anti-codon, which is responsible for specific mRNA codon recognition, and the 3' end, to which the tRNAs corresponding amino acid is attached (by aminoacyl-tRNA synthetases). tRNAs cope with the degeneracy of the genetic code in two manners: having more than one tRNA (with a specific anti-codon) for a particular amino acid; and 'wobble' base-pairing, i.e. permitting non-standard base-pairing at the 3rd anti-codon position. The record is from RNAcentral. Lineage: Archaea; Methanobacteriati; Thermoplasmatota; Thermoplasmata; Methanomassiliicoccales; Methanomassiliicoccaceae. RNAcentral also lists the same sequence under 1 other name.
GCCGAGGUAGUCUAGUCCGGUAAGGCGGCGGUCUCGAAAACCGCUGGCGACUCGCCACGGGAGUUCAAAUCUCUCCCUCGGCGCCA